GGAUAUGAGGGCAAUCUGGCUGUGACAUCUGUCUCCCACUGAUCGCCGGGGUAGAUUCGGCUGAUGAGGCUGGCUAGUCGGGUGUUCCCUUCCUCCCUCACCACUCCAUGUGCGUCCCUCCCAAAGCUGUGGGCUUGGUCGGCCAUCCCUGAUAGAAGAGGACUGUUCUUCACCAAGAGUAUAUGAGUAGCUGCACUCCCUGCUAGAUCCUCCAAGCAAGCUCUCAAAAAGGUAAAUAAGACUGGCGAAAAAUGUUUUUAUUCUUGUCCAUUUCCUAAAAGCACUUCUAGUUGUGAAGG
RNAcentral lists this small nuclear RNA (299 nucleotides) under Castor canadensis (American beaver). Its description in RNAcentral is "7SK RNA (ENSCCNG00000019215.1)". It matches the Rfam family "7SK RNA". Rfam says of the family: 7SK was discovered as an abundant small nuclear RNA in the mid-70s but a possible function has only recently been suggested. Two independent studies have found that 7SK RNA binds the CDK9/cyclin T complex (known as elongation factor P-TEFb). The record is from RNAcentral. Lineage: Eukaryota; Metazoa; Chordata; Mammalia; Rodentia; Castoridae.